Molecule: ribosomal RNA, 102 nt
Filed under: uncultured bacterium
Lineage: Bacteria
Description: partial 16S ribosomal RNA
Source: RNAcentral
UACACACCGCCCGUCACACCAUGGGAGUCGUCGGCACCCGAAAUUGUUUUAGCUAACCUGAAAAGGAGGCGGACAAUGAAGAUGAAGGGGAUGACUGGGGUG